UACGUAGGCAGCGAGCGUUGUUCGGAAUUACUGGGCGUAAAGAGUGUGUAGGCGGUGCUCCCAGUCUGUUGUGAAAUCUCCCGGCUUAACUGGGAGGGUGCAGCGGAAACUAGAGUGCUAGAGGGUGGGAGAGGUAAGCGGAAUUCCUGGUGUAGCGGUGAAAUGCGUAGAUAUCAGGAGGAACACCUGUGGUGUAGACAGCUUACUGGACCACUUCUGACGUGAGACACGAAAGCGUGGGUAGCAAACAGG
RNAcentral lists this ribosomal RNA (252 nucleotides) under uncultured bacterium. RNAcentral's name for it is "partial 16S ribosomal RNA". It matches the Rfam family "Bacterial small subunit ribosomal RNA", at positions 524 to 776 of the family's 1533-position model. The record is from RNAcentral.